Molecule: non-coding RNA, 168 nt
Filed under: bovine gut metagenome
Source: RNAcentral
UGUAGGUUUUUGCGUCAAAGAGCAAAAUUAAAAGGGAAUCACGUGCAAUCCGUGAGCUGUCGCGCAACUGUAACAAGAUGCCUGAAGAAAGGCAAAAAGCCAUUGGACCCGCAAGGUUUGAGAAGGUGCCUUUCCUAGUCUUUAAGCCAGGAUACCUGCCUAGAUGUU